CCUACGGGCGGCAGCAGUGAGGAAUAUUGGUCAAUGGGCGCGAGCCUGAACCAGCCAAGCCGCGUGAGGGAAGACGGGCCUAGGGAUUGUAAACCUCUUUUGUCGGGGAGCAAAAGACGCCACGCGUGGCGUUCCGAGAGUACCCGAAGAAAAAGCAUCGGCUAACUCCGUGCCAGCAGCCGCGGUAAUACGGAGGAUGCGAGCGUUAUCCGGUUUUAUUGGGGUGAAAGGGUGGGCAGGGGGAAGAUCAGGUCAGCGGUAAAAUUGGGAGGCGAAACCUCUUCGAGCCGUUGAAACUGGUCUUCUUGAGUGAGUGAGAGGUAUGCGGAAUGCGUGGUGUAGCGGUGAAAUGCAUAGAUAUCACGCAGAACUCCGAUUGCGAAGGCAGCAUACCGGCGCUCAACUGACGCUCAUGCACGAAAGUGUGGGUAUCGAACAGGAUUAGAUACCCUGGUAGUC
Molecule: ribosomal RNA, 459 nt
Filed under: uncultured bacterium
Lineage: Bacteria
Description: partial 16S ribosomal RNA
Rfam family: Bacterial small subunit ribosomal RNA
Source: RNAcentral